UGGGGAAUAUUGGACAAUGGGGGCAACCCUGAUCCAGCCAUGCCGCGUGGGUGAAGAAGGCCUUCGGGUUGUAAAGCCCUUUUGUACGGGAAGAAAAGCUUCCGGUUAACAACCGGGGGUCAUGACGGUACCGUAAGAAUAAGCACCGGCUAACUUCGUGCCAGCAGCCGCGGUAAUACGAAGGGUGCAAGCGUUACUCGGAAUUACUGGGCGUAAAGCGUGCGUAGGUGGUAAGUUAAGUCUGAUGUGAAAUCCCCGGGCUCAACCUGGGAAUGGCAUUGGAUACUGGCUCGCUAGAGUGCGGUAGAGGGUGGUGGAAUUCCCGGUGUAGCAGUGAAAUGCGUAGAGAUCGGGAGGAACAUCUGUGGCGAAGGCGGCCACCUGGACCAACACUGACACUGAGGCACGAAAGCGUGGGGAGCAAACAGGAUUAGAUACCCUGGUAGUCCACGCCCUAAACGAUGUCUACUAGUUGUCGGGUCUUAAUUGACUUGGUAACGCAGCUAACGCGUGAAGUAGACCGCCUGGGGAGUACGGUCGCAAGAUUA
This 548-nucleotide ribosomal RNA is filed under the name uncultured bacterium. Its description in RNAcentral is "bacterial SSU rRNA". It matches the Rfam family "Bacterial small subunit ribosomal RNA", at positions 355 to 896 of the family's 1533-position model. The record is from RNAcentral.